This 497-nucleotide ribosomal RNA is filed under the name uncultured bacterium. RNAcentral describes it as "partial 16S ribosomal RNA". It matches the Rfam family "Bacterial small subunit ribosomal RNA", at positions 28 to 507 of the family's 1533-position model. The record is from RNAcentral.
GAUGAACGCUGGCGGCGUGCCUAAUACAUGCAAGUCGAGCGAACAGAUGAGGAGCUUGCUCCUCUGACGUUAGCGGCGGACGGGUGAGUAACACGUGGAUAACCUACCUAUAAGACUGGGAUGACUUCGGGAAACCGGAGCUAAUACCGGAUCAUAUAUUGAACCGCAUGGUUCAAUAGUGAAAGACGGUUUUGCUGUCACUUAUAGCUGGAUCCGCGCCGCAUUAGCUAGUUGGUAAGGUAACGGCUUACCAAGGCAACGAUGCGUAGCCGACCUGAGAGGGUGAUCGGCCACACUGGAACUGAGACACGGUCCAGACUCCUACGGGAGGCAGCAGUAGGGAAUCUUCCGCAAUGGGCGAAAGCCUGACGGAGCAACGCCGCGUGAGUGAUGAAGGUCUUCGGAUCGUAAAACUCUGUUAUUAGGGAAGAACAAAUGUGUAAGUAACUAUGCACGUCUUGACGGUACCUAAUCAGAAAGCCACGGCUAACUACGUG